Molecule: long non-coding RNA, 305 nt
Organism: Rhinopithecus bieti (black snub-nosed monkey)
Lineage: Eukaryota; Metazoa; Chordata; Mammalia; Primates; Cercopithecidae
Source: Ensembl
UGGUAACCAGCAGACAGACCUGAGAGAAGCAAGGCUGCAGAGAAACUGUAGCCAUCACCAAACAGCAAAUCAAAGGGAAGUGUCUCAGGAGAGAUUUCUAAUUAUCACACAUUUGUCCUUGCAGCCAAACCAGGAUGCAAUGGAAAUGGUGCCUUUGGCACUAGCAUCUUAGGUCACAAAAUCAGCCUCCCAAAUGUCCACAUAGAUAAUAUCAACCCUCAAUGCAAAUUACAAGAAUGUUAUUUUAAAAUGUAAUAAAAAGUGACCAAGCUGACCUAAACCCCACCACACCAUGAAUAGCUUCC